AUGCGCACCAGCUUGUACGCGGUCGACGCAGUAAUCUUCGUCAACCCAGUGCGACAAGAAAUAGACGAGCUCCUCCACAUCCUGCACUGCUUCGGCGAGGCCACUGACCUAAAGGUGAACCAAGCAAAAUCCUCGGUCGUCCCGAUCGCCUGCGACGGAAUCGACCUCGUUAACGUGCUACAAAGUUUCUGUGGAACCAUGGCGGCGCUGCCCAUCACAUACUUAGGCAUCCCGAUCACCACCGGCAAGCUUAGACUAGUGCACCUGCAGUUGAUCUUAGAUAGGAUUCGAGCACGGCUAGCGGGCAGGAAGGGCAGGCUGCUACCAAUCGCGGGCCGGCGCGUGCUG
RNAcentral lists this ribosomal RNA (348 nucleotides) under Triticum aestivum (bread wheat). Its description in RNAcentral is "partial small subunit ribosomal RNA". The record is from RNAcentral. Lineage: Eukaryota; Viridiplantae; Streptophyta; Magnoliopsida; Poales; Poaceae.